GGUUAAGUGACUAAGCGUACAUGGUGGAUGCCUUGGCAGUCAGAGGCGAUGAAGGACGUACUAACCUGCGAUAAGCCGUGAGCAGUCGGUAAGAGACAUUACGACUCACGGAUUUCCGAAUGGGGAAACCCACCCGAGAUAACUCGGGUAUCUGUUACUGAAUACAUAGGUAACAGAGGCGAACCGGGAGAACUGAAACAUCUAAGUACCCCGAGGAAAAGAAAUCAACCGAGAUUCCCUCAGUAGCGGCGAGCGAACGGGGAUUAGCCCUUAAGCAUCUUGGAAGUUAGUGGAACGGUCCUGGAAAGGCCGGCGAUACAGGGUGAUAGCCCCGUACACGAAAACAACCUUGAUGUGAAAUCGAGUAGGGCGGGACACGUGACAUCCUGUCUGAAUAUGGGGGGACCAUCCUCCAAGGCUAAAUACUCCUGACUGACCGAUAGUGAACCAGUACCGUGAGGGAAAGGCGAAAAGCGAACCCACUAACGUUGCAAAGUUAGGGGAUGACCUGUGGCUGGGGGUGAAAGGCCAAUCAAACUCGGAGAUAGCUGGUUCUCCCCGAAAGCUAUUUAGGUAGCGCCUCGGACGAAUACUACUGGGGGUAGAGCACUGUUUGGGCUAGGGGGUCAUCCCGACUUACCAACCCCAUGCAAACUCCGAAUACCAGUAAGUAAUAUCCGGGAGACACACGGCGGGUGCUAACGUCCGUCGUGAAGAGGGAAACAACCCAGACCGCCGGCUAAGGUCCCAAAGUUCUGGUUAAGUGGGAAACGAUGUGGGAAGGCUCAGACAGCUAGGAUGUUGGCUUAGAAGCAGCCAUCAUUUAAAGAAAGCGUAAUAGCUCACUAGUCGAGUCGGCCUGCGCGGAAGAUGUAACGGGGCUCAAACCAGGCACCGAAGCCGCGGAUUCACGCUAAGCGUGAGUGGUAGGGGAGCGUUCUGUAAGUCUGCGAAGGUGURUCGAGAGGYAUGCUGGAGAUAUCAGAAGUGCGAAUGCUGACGUAAGUAACGAUAAAGGGGGUGAAAAGCCUCCUCGCCGGAAGACCAAGGGUUCCUGUCCAACGUUAAUCGGGGCAGGGUGAGUCGACCCCUAAGGUGAGGCCGAAAGGCGUAAUCGAUGGGAAGCAGGUUAAUAUUCCUGCACGACUUGUAAUUGCGAUGGGGGGACGGAGAAGGCUAGGUGGGCCAGGCGACGGUUGUCCUGGUGAAAGUGCGUAGGUGGUGUUUCUAGGCAAAUCCGGAGACACAACACUGAGACACGAGACGAACGCACUACGGUGCGGAAGCCAUUGAUGCCCUGCUUCCAGGAAAAGCCUCUAAGCUUCAGAUUACAAGUCAUCGUACCCCAAACCGACACAGGUGGUCGGGUAGAGAAUACCAAGGCGCUUGAGAGAACUCGGGUGAAGGAACUAGGCAAAAUAGUACCGUAACUUCGGGAGAAGGUACGCUCUUGUUGGUGAAGUCCCUUGCGGAUGGAGCUGACGGGAGUCGCAGUGACCAGAUGGCUGGGACUGUUUAUCAAAAACACAGCACUCUGCAAACACGAAAGUGGACGUAUAGGGUGUGACACCUGCCCGGUGCCGGAAGGUUAAUUGAUGGGGUUAGCGCAAGCGAAGCUCUUGAUCGAAGCCCCGGUAAACGGCGGCCGUAACUAUAACGGUCCUAAGGUAGCGAAAUUCCUUGUCGGGUAAGUUCCGACCUGCACGAAUGGUGUAACCAUGGCCAUGCUGUCUCCACCCGAGACUCAGUGAAAUCGAAUUCGCCGUGAAGAUGCGGUGUACCCGCGGCUAGACGGAAAGACCCCGUGAACCUUUACUACAGCUUGGCACUGAACAUUGAACCUACAUGUGUAGGAUAGGUGGGAGGCUUUGAAGGCGUGACGCCAGUUGCGCUGGAGCCGUCCUUGAAAUACCACCCUUGUAUGUUUGAUGUUCUAACGCAGGGCCCUGAAUCGGGCUCGCGGACAGUGCCUGGUGGGUAGUUUGACUGGGGCGGUCUCCUCCCAAAGAGUAACGGAGGAGCACGAAGGUUGGCUAAUCCUGGUCGGACAUCAGGAGGUUAGUGCAAUGGCAUAAGCCAGCUUAACUGCGAGACGGACAGGUCGAGCAGGUACGAAAGUAGGUCAUAGUGAUCCGGUGGUUCUGAAUGGAAGGGCCAUCGCUCAACGGAUAAAAGGUACUCCGGGGAUAACAGGCUGAUACCGCCCAAGAGUUCAUAUCGACGGCGGUGUUUGGCACCUCGAUGUCGGCUCAUCACAUCCUGGGGCUGAAGUCGGUCCCAAGGGUAUGGCUGUUCGCCAUUUAAAGUGGUACGCGAGCUGGGUUCAGAACGUCGUGAGACAGUUCGGUCCCUAUCUGCCGUGGGCGUUGGAUGAUUGAAGGGAGUUGCUCCUAGUACGAGAGGACCGGAGUGAACGAACCUCUGGUGUUCGGGUUGUCACGCCAGUGGCACUGCCCGGUAGCUAAGUUCGGAAUCGAUAACCGCUGAAAGCAUCUAAGCGGGAAGCGAGCCCUGAGAUGAGUCAUCCCUGACCCCUUGAGGGUCCUAAAGGGCCGUUGGAGACCACAACGUUGAUAGGUGGGGUGUGUAAGCGCGGCGACGUGUUGAGCUAACCCAUACUAAUUACCCGUGAGGCUUAACCAU
RNAcentral lists this ribosomal RNA (2643 nucleotides) under Aeromonas dhakensis. RNAcentral's name for it is "23S ribosomal RNA". The record is from RNAcentral. Lineage: Bacteria; Pseudomonadati; Pseudomonadota; Gammaproteobacteria; Aeromonadales; Aeromonadaceae.